This 576-nucleotide ribosomal RNA is filed under the name Pycnococcus provasolii. RNAcentral's name for it is "partial Bacterial large subunit ribosomal RNA". It matches the Rfam family "Bacterial large subunit ribosomal RNA", at positions 1118 to 1746 of the family's 2925-position model. The record is from RNAcentral. Lineage: Eukaryota; Viridiplantae; Chlorophyta; Pseudoscourfieldiophyceae; Pseudoscourfieldiales; Pycnococcaceae.
ACCCUUGAAAGAGUGCGUAACAGCUCACUAGUCGAACGCGGUUGCGCGGACAAUGUAACGGGGCUCAAACCAGUCACCGAAGCUUGGGAUGGUCGAAAGACUAUGGUAGGGGAGCGUUCUGCAGGCGGUGAAGGCAGACCGGAAGGUCUGUUGGAGCGUGCAGGAGUGAGAAUGCCGGCAUGAGUAGCGUAAAACAUGUGAGAACCAUGUUCGUCGAAGAUCUAAGGUUUCCGACGGAAGGUCAGUCCGCGUCGGGUUAGUCGGGCCUAAGCUGAGGCCGAGAGGCGUAAGCGAUGGACAACGGGUUAAUAGUCCCGUACUUGCAGGUGGAAGAGCACAAACCCUUGGUGAAGCCAGAGCCUCUGAGUGGAUUGAGGUGGUAAAUGGUGGAAGACCAUGACGCCGGGCGCAAGCCAGAAGUCUGGGGCACUCCGAGGCAAGAAAAGCUGUGUUUCUGUUGAAGCCUGUAAACCGUACCGUAAACCGACACAGGUAGAUGGGUUGAGAAUACCACGGUGAACGAGAGAACCUUCGUCAAGGAAUUAGGCAAAAUGGCCCCGUAACUUCGGGAGAAGG